AUACUAACCUGGCAGGGGAGAUACCAUGAUCACAAAGGUGGUUUUCCCAGGGUGAGGCUUAUCGAUAUCACUCCAGAUGUGUUGAACCCUGCGAUUUCCCCAAAUGUGGGAAACUUGACUGCAUAAUUUGUGGUAGUGGGGGACUGCGUUUGCCCUCUCCCCGU
Molecule: small nuclear RNA, 164 nt
Filed under: Echinops telfairi (small Madagascar hedgehog)
Lineage: Eukaryota; Metazoa; Chordata; Mammalia; Afrosoricida; Tenrecidae
Description: U1 spliceosomal RNA (ENSETEG00000022075.1)
Rfam family: U1 spliceosomal RNA
About the family: U1 is a small nuclear RNA (snRNA) component of the spliceosome (involved in pre-mRNA splicing). Its 5' end forms complementary base pairs with the 5' splice junction, thus defining the 5' donor site of an intron.
Source: RNAcentral